This 2734-nucleotide long non-coding RNA is filed under the name Homo sapiens (human). Its description in RNAcentral is "HSALNT0238528". Lineage: Eukaryota; Metazoa; Chordata; Mammalia; Primates; Hominidae. The record is from RNAcentral.
GGUUCAAGCAAUUCUCCUGCCUCAGCCUUCCAAAUAGCUGGGACUACAGGAGUACACCACCAUGCCUGGCUAAUUUUUUGUAGAGACGGGGUUUCACCAUGUUGGCCAGGCUGGUCUUGAACUCCUGACCUUAGGUGAUCCACAUGCCUCAGCCUCCCAAAGUGCUGGGAUUACAGCAUGAGCCACUGCGACCUGCCUUCUUAUUUUAUUGAAUUUCAAGGUAGAUGGUGUCAGUGUCAAACUCUGUUUCCAGUCAUGAAUUUACAAAUGUCGGUUCUCUUGAGUGCAGUUUCCCCUUCACUUUGUAUUAUAAAAUACUUGCAUCGAGCAGGGCAUGAUUUUGCCUGUCACCUUCUCCUGCUGAAACAGAUCCAGGUGUGGCAGGGCCUGAUGUUUGCCCCAGGUCUGUGUCUGGAUUCUGCUCAGAUCCACUGCCUUUGCCUGACAGUGCCUCUGAUCUUCUCAUGACUUAAACGCGAUGGAAGGCUCUUGAAGACGCAUUUAUAUUACAUAUUGGGAGGUACAGAAGCUCAGGUAGAGAAGGGCGAGUGCCUAGUGGGAAAUUCACCUGUGCCCAGUUUCUUCUCUGCUUGGUGAGCCUGGAAUGCAGAGCCCGCUCUCUGAGUCUGUGUGUGUGCCCCUCCUGCCUUUUAGAUGUACACUGUGGCUCUUCCUGCCCUCCCCCUUGUCACUACUGUCCUUUGUGCCUGGGGCCCAUGGCCUCCUCUGAUGUCAGAUCUUCUUGUUCCUGAUCCUUUGCCAGAACGCCCUUGAUCUUCUUGUGCUCCUCUCCAGCACUGGCCCUCUAGGGUGGGGGGCGUUAGUGGAGGUUUCCCAUAUCUCCAUUUUCUCUGGAAGGGAAUUGGGGGAAAGUCCUGUAUUUCCGUUUUCUCUCACUCUCUCAGUAGAAAUUCUUCAAAGUCUAAGCUUGUAGAUGAUACCCGACUACAAGAUUUUUACUGUGUCUUUGAUUAUUUUUGUUGGGAUUUGUAGAUUAAGAUGCUGGUGGUCAAACUGCUGGCUUAUCCUGUUUGAUUUUAUUGUUAUAUAUGCUUGUAUAGAAAUUUGAAAGUGAAAUUCAGAAGAUAAUUUUUUGACACCUGAGAGACAGAGUACUUCAUAAUUUAUGUCUCAUGAUAGAGUGACAGAUUUCUCUUAGAUUUGUUUGUCUAAAACAGUAAGUAUUUAGAGAAAAUUGCAUUCCAGGCAAGGGCAUGGAAUGAGCAAAGGCACAGAGGCAGGACAUAAAAAAUAAAAACAAAAAAACGUCAGGUGUUCAGGAAAGAGCCCGGCAGGUGUGAGCGUGUGGUUGACAUGACCCACCCUUCACAAAUAUUAAUCUUCCUGUUGUGAAGGUAGCAGCGGUGUCAUGCAACGCCUCCCAGAGUUAACCAUUGAAUACUUUAAAAAUCAUCAUAUACCAGGAGCUCACCUGUGCCUGGAUCAGAAUAAAUGACAACAUAACGUGAUGUCUUGAGGAAGGAUAGGUUGGUGCAAAAUUAAUUUUUGCCAUUACUUUUGCAGCACCAGCCUAUAUUUACAAUAAAUGCUACAGACAGUCACAAACAUUUGAAGACUCUAUUCUCUAACAUAACAAGGAAAGAAACAAAUUAGAGAUGUUAAAUAAAAGUUUUAAAGGAAAACAAUUACAGACAUAUACAGACAUAUAUGUGUAUGUGCUUAAAUGAGAAGACACAGAAGGCAGACUGGCGUUCAGUGAGGAGGGCCGUGCACCUUGCUGUGCUCCCUGGAGACACUGCCUGCCUGUGGGGUGCACAUCACCUGCAGUGUGUGACAGCACUGGGUGGUCUGGCCUCCAACUGUCGUUCUCAGGCAUGGGUUGUCAGCUCACAAGAGCAGAUUACUAUAUAAAAAUAACACUGGAAUAUCGGGAGUAUUUUUUCUUAAAUAUGCUUAAAAUAAUUUUUUUUUUUGAGAUGUACUCUCGCUCUGUUGCCUAGGCUGGAGUGCAGUGGCACGACCUUGGCUCACUGCAAGCUCUGCCUCCCAGGUUCAUGCCAUUCUCCUGCCUCAGCCUCCCGAGUAGCUGGGAUCACAGGCGCCCGCCACCGCGCCUGGCUAAAUUUUUGUAUUUUUAGUAGGGACGGGGUUUCACCAUGUUAGCCAGGACGGUCUCGACCUCGUGAUCCGCCGGCCUCGGCCUCCCAAAGUGCUAGGAUUACAGAUGUGAGCCACUGCGCCCGGCUAAAAUAAAUUUUAAGAAGAAAUACUGUCAGUAUUAUUUUUAGAACCUUCUAUACUUCUCACAGUACACUUGCGCACUACAGAAAAUUUGAGAAAACAUGGCCAAAUAGAGCUGGAUUUGCAUCCCAGAUUCACCAUUUAUGAACCACAUGACUCUUGUCAAAUUUUCAUCUAAAAUAAAGGCUAAUAUGUGGGAGUUCUGUGGAAAAAUUAGGUAACUUUAGACACAUGGUACCAUGCCUGGCAUAUACAGUGGAGUCAUAUCAGACACGUAUUUAUUUGUUUCAGUAAAAUUACCUAUUAUUAUUAUAAUUUUACAUGGUGGGAGCAAGUAGAACACAUGCUUCAUUUUUCUUUUAAAUGUGGCCCCUAAACACAAAGGAGCUAUUUCAUCUGGGAUGUAACUAAAGAAGGAGCCAGGCCAGGUGCGGUGGCUCACGCCUGUAAUCCCAGCAUUUGGGGAGGCCGAGGCGGGCGGAUCACAAGGUCAGGAGAUUGAGACCAUCCUGGCUAACAUGGUGAAACCCUG